AAAAGAAACCAACCGGGAUUGCCCUAGUAACGGCGAGUGAAGCGGCAACAGCUCAAAUUUGAAAUCUGACCUUUUCAAGGUCCGAGUUGUAAUUUGUAGAGGGUGUUUCGGGAGCGGCGCCGGCCUAAGUCCCUUGGAACAGGACGUCAUAGAGGGUGAGAACCCCGUAUGCGGCCGGUGACCAACCCCGUGUGAAACCCCUUCGACGAGUCGAGUUGUUUGGGAAUGCAGCUCUAAAUGGGUGGUAAAUUUCAUCUAAAGCUAAAUACUGGCCAGAGACCGAUAGCGCACAAGUAGAGUGAUCGAAAGAUGAAAAGCACUUUGAAAAGAGAGUUAAACAGUACGUGAAAUUGUUGAAAGGGAAGCGCUUGCGACCAGACCUGCACGCGGGCGAUCAGCCGCCGUUCUCGGCGGUGUACUCGCCCGUCGCAGGCCAGCAUCGGUUCGAGCGGUUGGAUAAAGGUUUGGGGAACGUAGCUCUCUUCGGAGAGUGUUAUAGCCCCGAACGCAAUGCAACCCGCCGGGACCGAGGACCGCGCUUCGGCGAGGAUGCUGGCGUAAUGGUCGUAAGCGGCCCG
This 578-nucleotide ribosomal RNA is filed under the name Sculptolumina japonica. RNAcentral describes it as "partial 28S large subunit ribosomal RNA". It matches the Rfam family "Eukaryotic large subunit ribosomal RNA", at positions 57 to 651 of the family's 3401-position model. The record is from RNAcentral. Lineage: Eukaryota; Fungi; Ascomycota; Lecanoromycetes; Caliciales; Caliciaceae.